Molecule: long non-coding RNA, 2920 nt
Filed under: Pan troglodytes (chimpanzee)
Lineage: Eukaryota; Metazoa; Chordata; Mammalia; Primates; Hominidae
Description: long non-coding RNA NONPTRT005320
Source: RNAcentral
UGCUAAGGGAAAAAAAGGAUGGGGAAAGGAGUGGCAGUAUCUAUAGCUAGAGGGUCGUCCUAUUUGUGGAAAACUUUAUUGUCUACUUUAGUGGGUCCUGAAUAUUAGUCCAGUCCUUACUGCCCAGCACUUAAGGAAGAAAGGUCUAAUGUGACUGUAUGGGGGUUGAAGUAGGUACCAAAGGAAAAGCAGUUCCCACCACCUCCAAGGAGCAGGAGCUGUUGCUCUUCAGGAAGAAGGAUGCUAGUAUGGUUGUGUAACAUUAAUGGCCAUGGCACAUAUGUUGUGUCAAUCUGAUACUCAGAGCUCAAUCCUGUAGUCAAAUUGAUCACAGUCACUCCAGGAAAUGAGGAGGAAUGAAUCCAGAUCCCUCCAACCAGUAACAGCUUUCCAUUGAGCACAUGAGCUGUGUGGGAGUACCUUGGGGUAAUGGGAGGCUGGAUGUCUACUGACUCCCAGAGGAAUCCACAAGAGAUUGGUCUCAGAAAGAGCACAGAGUUCAAUGGCUCCUCAGAAGCCCCGAGACCUCCAGCAAUAAGGGCUCCCCCUUGCCAAGUGCAGGCACUGUGAGAAUGCCGGGCUUCAGGUACUUCUCCCUCCACUGGGAUCCUGACCCAAGCCAUUGUCCCUACAUGUAGGAAAUGCCAGUCACUUAGUACAGGUUCCACCACGCUUCGACCCCCAUACACAAACAAAUAUUCCUGAUUCUGACAGGACACUUCUGUUGUUGAAUGCCGCCAACAACACAAAGUGGAAUCAUCCUUUCGGCCAGCCUUUGUUAUUGUCACUUUCAGGUCCUCAGUGUUAUUAUCCUCACUCUUAAAAAAAUGAAGCUGGAGAACCCCCAAGGCUGGACUUACUGGGGACAGUCUCCCUCCCAGAAUCAGAAUCCGACUCUCUGAGAGUCUUGUCAUGGUGUGAUAAAGGCGUCCAUCCCACUGAACUCCAGUCCCACAACUGCCUAUUUGGCUGCCUUUCCAUUCAGAGUCACAAUCUCUUGAGAGCAAGUGAAACUGGCUCACUCGGCAGUGCCGCCCCUCCUGCUCUCCAAAUCCUCCUGCACUGAGAAUAACGUCUGGGCUCAAGAAGACAGAGGCGUGGCCAUAUCUCUUCAGGUUUGGGACCUGGCCCUCGCUACUGACUACACUGGCAGGGAAUAACCCUGAAGGCGAAGCAGGAUUUACGCGAGGGAAUGCCUCUGAGGAUGGAAACACUAGGGUGUGGGAGAGGGUGUCUCCCCUAGAAGCUGCCAGAAUGAAAUAAUGGGCGCACUUCAGAUGCCACUCCUCAAAUUCGUCAAAGGGUUCAAUAUUUUCCACCCGCCGGCGCUCUUCUGCGGGAAGGAAGCAGUGAUAGAAUUCAUUCAUGUCCACGGCACCGCAGGCGGUCCAGCCAGCUUGAAGGAAGCGGCGCCGCUGCGCCUCCACGUCAGGAAAGCGCUCCAGGCCAUGCAGGGGGGAGUUUAGCUGCCGAAAAUGUUGCAGCAUGCACUGGCCAAAGGCGUCUUGAGGCCUCAUCUGCUCAUAGACCACGAAAAGGGCAUUAGGAAAACGCUGGGCUGCCCAGGCGAUGAGGGCCGCGGCACUCUCCGGCUCGAGGUAGGUCAGCACCGCCUCGGCCAGCAGCAGAGUGGGUGAGGCUGCGUCGAGCCCCGCGGCGCCCAGGGCCUCCUCCACUCGCUGGAGCUGCCGCAAGUCCAGACCCAGGAUGCAGUAGUCUGCGCUCUCAAAGCACAGCGCGGACGCGGGCUCCCCCCUCUGGAAAGGCCCGGUUAACGCGCACAGCUCUGGCGUCUCUCCAAUCCUUUCUGCUUUGCGCCGCGCCACCUCCGGAAAAUCCACCUCCCAGACUGCAGCCCGGGCCAGGCGGCCCGCGGUUUUUAAGCGAAAAUAGAGCGAGUCGAAGCCAGCGCCGAGAGACAAGAUCUGCGCGCGAAGCGCGGCCUGGGGCGCGCCAAUCUGCUCCAAAAAAGCGCGCACGCAGUGCCUCACGGCGCGUGCGCGGACGUAGUAGCCUCGGUGAAUGAGCGGUGCGCGGCGCGCCGCGCCCGGAACCAGCAACGCGGCAAAGGGGUCCUGCACGUACCCGCGCGCGGCCAGGGAACGCUUGCUGAGGGCGCUGCUGUCGUUGGUGUUCUGUACCGCGCCUGCCCGACGCUCACGGCUCCGGGGGCCCAUGGCCAGAAGAGACUCAGGAAUGGCAGUCUGUCACGGUUGUGAGCCGCCCCUUGGUUAGCACACACCUCACGGACCUCGGUAGGGGGAAACAACCACCCAUGCUCCUGGACUUCCCCUUCCGCCGGCGCUUGUGCGUCACUUCCGGGAAGAGCGCAUCUCGCCAACCAGAAUUGAGGAGGGUGUAGCCAGUGCUAAGUUCGCUUGCGGCUGACCUUUCUUUUGAAUGUCGUGAGUUCCAUUUGUCCCAGAAUACGGUCCGCUACCGCUGUGACAUGAGUGUUAGGGAAGGCGGGUUGUCACGUUUCUACAAGCCUUCCAGUCAAAAGGGAAACCUUGCCUAAGUCCUUGUAGUUGAGAAAUCUCUAAGAGGUGGAAGCAAAUACUGCACAUGCGUGUUGGUCCUGUGAGGGAAACCAGCUAGUGGAGAGGGAGAGGUUGAAGGAACAGAAAAAUGAGAAGAUAACUCACUGGUAGAGUAACUUGGAAUAGAUAGAAAUGGGAUCCUGGGCACGUAUUAGUUGUGGGGAUAGGAGAAUGAAUCCUUUAUCUGUGACUCCUGAUGGAGUAAAAAAAAGAUUAUGGAUAAUCAUAAGCUCAGGUGUGAGGUAGGGCAGAGAGAAAAAGAAGGAAUUUACACCUGAUGGCUUCUGUUUUCUCUGUAAAGUUGGUGACAGAGUUGUCAGUUUAGUGUAAGGCAUUCAGAUCUGAUGGAACAUUUGAGCAGUUUGAGAAUUGCUUCUGAA